AUACGGAGGGGGUUAGCGUUGUUCGGAAUUACUGGGCGUAAAGCGCACGUAGGCGGAUUGGAAAGUUGGGGGUGAAAUCCCAGGGCUCAACCCUGGAACUGCCUCCAAAACUAACAGUCUAGAGUUCGAGAGAGGUGAGUGGAAUUCCAAGUGUAGAGGUGAAAUUCGUAGAUAUUUGGAGGAACACCAGUGGCGAAGGCGGCUCACUGGCUCGAUACUGACGCUGAGGUACGAAAGCGUGGGGAGCAAACAGGAUUAGAAACCCUAGUAGUCC
Molecule: ribosomal RNA, 274 nt
Filed under: uncultured bacterium
Lineage: Bacteria
Description: partial 16S ribosomal RNA
Rfam family: Bacterial small subunit ribosomal RNA
Source: RNAcentral